RNAcentral lists this ribosomal RNA (497 nucleotides) under uncultured bacterium. RNAcentral's name for it is "partial 16S ribosomal RNA". It matches the Rfam family "Bacterial small subunit ribosomal RNA", at positions 28 to 507 of the family's 1533-position model. The record is from RNAcentral.
GAUGAACGCUGGCGGCGUGCCUAAUACAUGCAAGUCGAGCGAACAGACGAGGAGCUUGCUCCUCUGACGUUAGCGGCGGACGGGUGAGUAACACGUGGAUAACCUACCUAUAAGACUGGGAUAACUUCGGGAAACCGGAGCUAAUACCGGAUAAUAUAUUGAACCGCAUGGUUCAAUAGUGAAAGACGGUUUUGCUGUCACUUAUAGAUGGAUCCGCGCCGAAUUAGCUAGUUGGUAAGGUAACGGCUUACCAAGGCGACGAUGCGUAGCCGACCUGAGAGGGUGAUCGGCCACACUGGAACUGAGACACGGUCCAGACUCCUACGGGAGGCAGCAGUAGGGAAUCUUCCGCAAUGGGCGAAAGCCUGACGGAGCAACGCCGCGGGAGGGAUGAAGGUCUUCGGAUCGUAAAACUCUGUUAUUAGGGAAGAACAAAAGUGUAAGUAACUAUGCACGUCUUGACGGUACCUAAUGAGAAAGCCACGGCUAACUACGUG